AUGGCUAAAGGUCCAAAGGUAUCGCACCCCGAGUAUGUUGAUUUCAAUAGUGACGAAGAUGACUUGUUAGGUGAUGAUGAUUUACUUGUUGACAACUCUAGUGAUGAAUACUAUGAUGAAACGUCAAUUAAUCAUGCUAAUCAAGAUAAAACGAAUGACAAUGAUAAGGAGAAGAUUGAGUCUCUAACUAAAGAACCAAACACUCUUAGGUUAGCUCAUGAAACUAUCUUAGGAGAUCAUCGAGAACUUUUAAGGACUCAUGAGAAAUUACGCUUUGAAAAGCUCAACCUUGAGCAAGAGCAUGAGUUCUUAAAAGCAAUCAAUGAUGAUCUUCGCAAGAAAAGUUCUUCUUACAUUGCCAAGCGUUUACUCUUAUCCACUUACAUGCCUCAAGUCAAGUCUAGUAACAAGAACAAGAAAGAUUCUUCCUCUAGUAGUAACAAUAAUCAUGUUAAAUCCAAUAUUGUUGCUUCUAGAAGUUCUCUUGAUUCCACUAAUGAUUCUCUUAGCCAAGUUACACUUGAGCAAGAAAAUAGCUUAUUGAAGGGAAUUAUAGAGAAAGGUGUUUACAAGAGCCUUGCCGGAAGUAAGCAAUUCGAGGAAAUUGUACGCAAGCAAGGAAGGCACCGGAAGAAUCAAGGUGUUGGCUUUGAACGGAAGUUCAAUGCCAAUGGAGUUGAGUGGGAAGAAGAUCAAUACCCCAAGACAAAGUUUGUUCCUCAACAAGAGAAGUAUGAUCCUACUUCUCUCAAAGGGACACAAGCUCAAGAUGAUCUUCCACCACAAGACCACAAGACCACAAGCAAAAAGGCAAGGACAAGCUUUAAGAGGAAAUUGAUGCAUUUGAAGAAGCUCCUAAGGCCUUGGUCAAGUGGGUUCCCAAGACUACUUCAAGUUCCACUUCAUCAAGUACAACUACAACAUCGAGGAUUCCCAUCAAGAUGGUGUGGAUCCCGAAGAAGAAGAACUAGAGAGUUCUUGAGGGUGACUCCGUCAAUAUACUUCACUCUUCUCAUCUUGGCAAGAACAAGUGCAAUCAACUUCCACAUCUUGCACUAG
Molecule: ribosomal RNA, 1059 nt
Filed under: Triticum aestivum (bread wheat)
Lineage: Eukaryota; Viridiplantae; Streptophyta; Magnoliopsida; Poales; Poaceae
Description: partial small subunit ribosomal RNA
Source: RNAcentral